UGUGGCAGUGCCUGGGGGGGAUGAGCUGCUGCCCAGCAAACAGGGAAAACUCCAGCUCCUCCUGAGCACAGCACCACGUCUGUAACGAGACUGCUCAGCUGCCUGCAAGCAGCAGCCCCAGGGUGUCUUUCAUCCCUCCUCUGUAAGGAGGCAGAUGAUGGUCACAAAGAGCAGGUUGGUGUCUGCCUUUGCUGGGAGGGACUGACUGUGGAGGGAGGAGACAGCUCCCUAAACCCUCAGGGGCUCACAGCAGGUGGGGCACCCUGGGGGUGUCAGGAGGAGUCUGACCUCGGGCAGGACCCUGCUGUGCAUCCAGACCCUCAGGCUGGAUGUUCCUCCCAGAGCUGGGCAUCGCCAGCGUGGCCAGAACUGCAGUGAACCCCCUUCUUCCUCCUGCCCUGAGUGUUCAGUGAAAGUCUCUGAGGCGUUUGUCAUCAAAAGUAUGUAUUUAUUUAUAAAAAAGAACAGAGAAAAAAAUAUACCAGUGUUUCUUUUUCUAUAAAAGACAAUUCCUUGGAGGUUAAAUGUCCUAGACCCAAGGAUACAUGGCAUUGCAGUCCACAGCUGUAGAUGGCUGAUCCAGAUC
Neopelma chrysocephalum (saffron-crested tyrant-manakin) is the source of this 586-nucleotide long non-coding RNA. RefSeq lists it as uncharacterized. The record is from RefSeq and is a predicted model, not a curated record. NCBI's taxonomy places the organism in Eukaryota, Metazoa, Chordata, Aves, Passeriformes, Pipridae. The transcript has 3 exons.